RNAcentral lists this ribosomal RNA (245 nucleotides) under uncultured bacterium. RNAcentral's name for it is "partial small subunit ribosomal RNA". It matches the Rfam family "Bacterial small subunit ribosomal RNA", at positions 26 to 285 of the family's 1533-position model. The record is from RNAcentral.
AGAAUCAACGCUGGCGGCGUGCCUAACACAUGCAAGUCGCACGAGAAAGGAGCUUCGGCCCUGAGUAAAGUGGCGCACGGGUGAGUAACACGUGAAUCAUCUACCUUCGAGUGGGGAAUAACUGAGAGAAAUCUUAGCUAAUACCGCAUAAUACCUACGGGUCAAAGCAGCAAUGCGCUUGAAGAGGAGUUCGCGGCAGAUUAGUUAGUUGGCGGGGUAAUGGCCCACCAAGACGAUGAUCUGUA